Molecule: ribosomal RNA, 511 nt
Filed under: uncultured bacterium
Lineage: Bacteria
Description: partial 16S ribosomal RNA
Rfam family: Bacterial small subunit ribosomal RNA
Source: RNAcentral
GACGAACGCUGGCGGCGUGCCUAAUACAUGCAAGUAGAACGCUGAAGGGAGAGCUUGCUCUUCUGGAUGAGUUGCGAACGGGUGAGUAACGCGUAGGUAACCUGCCUGGUAGCGGGGGAUAACUAUUGGAAACGAUAGCUAAUACCGCAUAACAGCAAAUGUUGCAUGACAUUUGCUUAAAAGGUGCAAUUGCAUCACUACCAGAUGGACCUGCGUUGUAUUAGCUAGUUGGUGGGGUAACGGCUCACCAAGGCGACGAUACAUAGCCGACCUGAGAGGGGGAUCGGCCACACUGGGACUGAGACACGGCCCAGACUCCUACGGGAGGCAGCAGUAGGGAAUCUUCGGCAAUGGACGGAAGUCUGACCGAGCAACGCCGCGUGAGUGAAGAAGGUUUUCGGAUCGUAAAGCUCUGUUGUAAGAGAAGAACGAGUGUGAGAGUGGAAAGCUCACACUGUGACGGUAUCUUACCAGAAGGGGACGGCUAACUACGUGCCAGCAGCCGCCGUAA